Molecule: ribosomal RNA, 450 nt
Filed under: uncultured Glomeromycotina
Lineage: Eukaryota; Fungi; Glomeromycota
Description: SSU rRNA
Rfam family: Eukaryotic small subunit ribosomal RNA
Source: RNAcentral
AGCAGCCGCGGUAAUUCCAGCUCCAAUAGCGUAUAUUAAAGUUGCUGCAGUUAAAAAGCUCGUAGUUGAAUUUCGGGACCAUCAUGUCGGUCGUGCCUCGGUACGUACUGGCAUUGUUGGUUUCUCCCUUCUGACGAACCAUGAUGUCAUUAAUUUGGUGUUAUGGGAAAUCAGGACUGUUACUUUGAAAAAAUUAGAGUGUUUAAAGCAGGCAUUAGCUUGAAUACAUUAGCAUGGAAUAAUGAAAUAGGACGUUCGAACCUAUUUUGUUGGUUUUUAGGAUCAACGUAAUGAUUAAUAGGGAUAGUUGGGGGCAUUAGUAUUCAAUUGUCAGAGGUGAAAUUCUUGGAUUUAUUGAAGACUAACUACUGCGAAAGCAUUUGCCAAGGAUGUUUUCAUUAAUCAAGAACGAAAGUUAGGGGAUCGAAGACGAUCAGAUACCGUCGUAGU